Molecule: ribosomal RNA, 549 nt
Filed under: Opalinidae sp.
Lineage: Eukaryota; Bigyra; Opalinata; Opalinidae
Description: partial small subunit ribosomal RNA
Rfam family: Eukaryotic small subunit ribosomal RNA
Source: RNAcentral
AAGUCUGGUGCCAGCAGCCGCGGUAACUUCAGCUCCAAUAGCGUAUAUUAACAUUGUUGCAUUUAAAAAGCUCGUAGUUGAAUUUAUUUUUAUAAAUUUUAUAUAAGUAAUAUUAUUUUAUAAUAAAAUUAUUUAAAUUUAUUUUUUAUAAUUUUAUUAUAUAUUAAACGGUAAUAUUAUUUAUAAUUUAUAAAAAAAUUUUAUGUUAUAUUAUUUAGUAAUAGAUAAUAUAAUAUAAAUAUUACUGUGAAAAAAUUAGAGUGUUUAAAGCAUGUAUAUAAAAUUAAAAAAUAUAUUUUCUGAAUAUAUUUUUUUAGCUUGAAUAUAUUAGCAUGGAAUAAUAAUAUUAUAAUAUUUUUAUAUUAUUUUGUUGGUUAAAUAUAAAAAUAUAUGAUUAAUAGGGACAAUUGGGGGUACUUAUAUUUCAUAGUCAGAGGUGAAAUUCUGGGAUUUAUGAAAGAUAAACAAAUGCGAAAGCAUUUACCAAAAAUGUUUUCAUUAAUCAAGAACGAAAGUUAGGGGAUCAAAGAGGCUUAGAUACCCUCGUAG